RNAcentral lists this ribosomal RNA (372 nucleotides) under uncultured organism. Its description in RNAcentral is "bacterial SSU rRNA". It matches the Rfam family "Bacterial small subunit ribosomal RNA", at positions 526 to 896 of the family's 1533-position model. The record is from RNAcentral.
CAGAGGUGGCAAGCGUUGUUCGGAUUCAUUGGGUGUAAAGGGCAGGUAGGUGGCUAUGUAAGUCCGGUGUGAAAUCCCUGAGCUCAACUCUGGAACUGCAUUGGAAACUGCAUGGCUUGAGUACCGGAGAGGUGAGGGGAAUUCUCGGUGUAAGGGUGAAAUCUGUAGAUAUCGAGAGGAACACCAGUGGCGAAGGCGCCUCACUGGCCGGUUACUGACACUGAGCUGCGAAAGCAAGGGGAGCAAACAGGAUUAGAUACCCUGGUAGUCCUUGCCGUAAACGAUGUGGAUUAGGUGUCGGAGGUGUCGAUCCCUCCGGUGCCGACGCUAACGCAUUAAAUCCACCACCUGGGGAGUACGGUCGCAAGACUG